Molecule: ribosomal RNA, 264 nt
Filed under: uncultured bacterium
Lineage: Bacteria
Description: partial 16S ribosomal RNA
Rfam family: Bacterial small subunit ribosomal RNA
Source: RNAcentral
CGGGGUGCGACACGGUGACGUGGGGCGGAUCCCUGAAAACCGGUCUCAGUUCGGAUCGCAGUCUGCAACUCGACUGCGUGAAGGUGGAGUCGCUAGUAAUCGCGGAUCAGCAACGCCGCGGUGAAUACCGUUCCCGGGCCUUGUACACACCGCCCGUCACACCAUGGAAGUCUGCAAUGCCCGAAGCCGGUGGCCUAACCACUUAUGUGGAAGGAGCCGUCUAAGGCAGGGCAGAUGACUGGGGUGAAGUCGUAACAAGGUAAC